This is a long non-coding RNA of Helicoverpa armigera (cotton bollworm), 1063 nucleotides long. RefSeq lists it as uncharacterized. The record is from RefSeq and is a predicted model, not a curated record. NCBI's taxonomy places the organism in Eukaryota, Metazoa, Arthropoda, Insecta, Lepidoptera, Noctuidae. The transcript is spliced from 3 exons.
AUUUACAUUUCUACAUUCUCGCGAUAGCUGAAAAGCGUAGGUUUAACUCAUUUGUCAUUUACCAGUCGCUUUGGUCAUUUAUCAGAAACUCUUUUUCCAACAAUUUUCCAAAACGGAGCAGGUCCUCAAUUGGGAUGUUUUUUUUUCUAAAGUGGUAAAUAAUAUAUUAACUGAAUGUUCUGCAUCGUAUGGACUAAUAGACAACAAGUUCUUCUUCAGCGGGCCUAGCAUGACCGCCAUAGAAACAGCUUUUGUCUACCGGAGAAUCGACAAAAUGACAGAUUGAAGAAAGAUUUCUAUCGACCCGAGCAUGGCGAUGUUUGACAUCGAGAAAAGAAAUGUUUCUUUUCUUCGUCGACAUGUGUCUAUCGCGUCGAGCAUGACGACUAUAUUUUCUCUACUUUUGACAUUUGGGAGUAGAUAUAACUUUCUAUAUGAAAUGUCAAAUACUCUACAUCUCAUCGGACCUAGACAAGAGUAGACAAGAAUAUUAUUAUAAUUUUAAGAUCUCAAAAAGCAUUUACAAAGUAUGUCGGGGUCCUACCGUCGUCAUGUGGUCAGUUUUUAUGCUGAGAAGAAUCAGUGUAAAGCUCAAAGAACGAGCUAUGCGAGUGUUAAGCCUCUCGACAUUGAAAACGUAAAUGUGCAGAGAUGGUGCAGUAUUUAUGCCAGGAAUCUGUCUCCUAGGAUAUCUCAGGGUCUGCCUGUUCUUAUCAAUGUUGUUUGUUCGGGUCCUGCUUAGGUCAUUAACAACAUUACUAACCACUGUUAGCAAAUUUUUUAAGCAAUUUGUUUUUGCAGUGAAUACAAGGGUGCCUAUGCUACAACUCUUCCCGAAGAAAGGCAGAGAGAGAGACACACUAAUGACCUUAGCGGUAGCUUACUACAAGCUGCAACUCACAGAAGAGCAACUAUUAUGAAUAUCUUUGUAUAUCAACAGUUAUUCAAACCAUACAGACAGAAUUGAGUUGCUGGGGAGUUUGUUCCACCGCUUCUGCUGCUGAUUUUCAGCCUAUUUUGAAUAAAUGACUUUAUCUGUAGCCUUAAUUUUAUGUAAAUAAAC